GAUGAACGCUAGCGGCAGGCCUAACACAUGCAAGUCGAGGGGUAACUAGAAUGAUAGCAAUAUUAUUUUGGCUAGACCGGCGCACGGGUGCGUAACACGUAUGCAACCUACCUUAUACUGGGGAAUAACUUCGAGAAAUCGGCGCUAAUACCCCAUAACACUGCGAAGAGGCAUCUCUUUGCAUUUAAAGCUCCGGCGGUAUAAGAUGGGCAUGCGUCCAAUUAGCUAGUUGGUGAGGUAACGGCUCACCAAGGCUACGAUUGGUAGGGGUUCUGAGAGGAUGAUCCCCACACUGGUACUGAGACACGGACCAGACUCCUACGGGAGGCAGCAGUGAGGAAUAUUGCGCAAUGGACGAAAGUCUGACGCAGCCAUGCCGCGUGCAGGAUGACGGCCCUAUGGGUUGUAAACUGCUUUUGUAUGGGAAUAAACCCUUCUACGUGUAGAAGGCUGAAGGUACCAUAAGAAUAAGCACCGGCUAACUCCGUGCCAGCAGCCGCGGUAAUACGGAGGGUGCAAGCGUUAUCCGGAUUUAUUGGGUUUAAAGGGUCCGUAGGCGGGCCGAUAAGUCAGUGGUGAAAGCCCAUAGCUCAACUAUGGAACUGCCAUUGAUACUGUCGGUCUUGAGUAUAUGUGAUGUUGGCGGAAUGUGUAGUGUAGCGGUGAAAUGCUUAGAUAUUACACAGAACACCGAUUGCGAANGCAGCUGACAAAUAUAUAACUGACGCUGAGGGACGAAAGUGUGGGGAUCAAACAGGAUUAGAUACCCUGGUAGUCCACACCGUAAACGAUGAUUACUAGAUUUUGGCCUUAUGGUCAGAGUCCAAGCGAAAGUGUUAAGUAAUCCACCUGGGGAGUACGUCCGCAAGGAUGAAACUCAAAGGAAUUGACGGGGGCCCGCACAAGCGGUGGAGCA
This 916-nucleotide ribosomal RNA is filed under the name uncultured bacterium. Its description in RNAcentral is "bacterial SSU rRNA". It matches the Rfam family "Bacterial small subunit ribosomal RNA", at positions 28 to 939 of the family's 1533-position model. The record is from RNAcentral.